RNAcentral lists this long non-coding RNA (283 nucleotides) under Physcomitrium patens. RNAcentral's name for it is "long non-coding RNA (PPAT_LNC012972)". Lineage: Eukaryota; Viridiplantae; Streptophyta; Bryopsida; Funariales; Funariaceae. The record is from RNAcentral.
AAACUUGAUAGGAUUUCUAUAGGCAUUGAUUUUGAGGAUUUUGGAUAGAUAAUGACUUUGUAAAAGUUUUGCAAAGUUGAGGUUAUUUUUAGUGACUCUGGUUUUUGAAAAAUAAAAUAGGAUUGACAUUUUGGGCAAUUUCAAGAGUUUGGUAAUAGAUAUACAAGUGAACUUUUUUUGAGUUUGUGGAUAUAGUUGUGUUAGAUGUGUAUUGUCAAUUUGGAUUUGAUUAAAUGGUUAGAUUGAAAAGUAUGAAGGUUUUUGUGGGUUAUGGUCUUAGAAU